Molecule: ribosomal RNA, 1359 nt
Filed under: Streptococcus thermophilus
Lineage: Bacteria; Bacillati; Bacillota; Bacilli; Lactobacillales; Streptococcaceae
Description: bacterial SSU rRNA
Rfam family: Bacterial small subunit ribosomal RNA
Source: RNAcentral
UUGCUCUUCUUGGAUGAGUUGCGAACGGGUGAGUAACGCGUAGGUAACCUGCCUUGUAGCGGGGGAUAACUAUUGGAAACGAUAGCUAAUACCGCAUAACAAUGGAUGACACAUGUCAUUUAUUUGAAAGGGGCAAUUGCUCCACUACAAGAUGGACCUGCGUUGUAUUAGCUAGUAGGUGAGGUAAUGGCUCACCUAGGCGACGAUACAUAGCCGACCUGAGAGGGUGAUCGGCCACACUGGGACUGAGACACGGCCCAGACUCCUACGGGAGGCAGCAGUAGGGAAUCUUCGGCAAUGGGGGCAACCCUGACCGAGCAACGCCGCGUGAGUGAAGAAGGUUUUCGGAUCGUAAAGCUCUGUUGUAAGUCAAGAACGGGUGUGAGAGUGGAAAGUUCACACUGUGACGGUAGCUUACCAGAAAGGGACGGCUAACUACGUGCCAGCAGCCGCGGUAAUACGUAGGUCCCGAGCGUUGUCCGGAUUUAUUGGGCGUAAAGCGAGCGCAGGCGGUUUGAUAAGUCUGAAGUUAAAGGCUGUGGCUCAACCAUAGUUCGCUUUGGAAACUGUCAAACUUGAGUGCAGAAGGGGAGAGUGGAAUUCCAUGUGUAGCGGUGAAAUGCGUAGAUAUAUGGAGGAACACCGGGUGGCGAAAGCGGCUCUCUGGUCUGUAACUGACGCUGAGGCUCGAAAGCGUGGGGAGCGAACAGGAUUAGAUACCCUGGUAGUCCACGCCGUAAACGAUGAGUGCUAGGUGUUGGAUCCUUUCCGGGAUUCAGUGCCGCAGCUAACGCAUUAAGCACUCCGCCUGGGGAGUACGACCGCAAGGUUGAAACUCAAAGGAAUUGACGGGGGCCCGCACAAGCGGUGGAGCAUGUGGUUUAAUUCGAAGCAACGCGAAGAACCUUACCAGGUCUUGACAUCCCGAUGCUAUUUCUAGAGAUAGAAAGUUACUUCGGUACAUCGGUGACAGGUGGUGCAUGGUUGUCGUCAGCUCGUGUCGUGAGAUGUUGGGUUAAGUCCCGCAACGAGCGCAACCCCUAUUGUUAGUUGCCAUCAUUCAGUUGGGCACUCUAGCGAGACUGCCGGUAAUAAACCGGAGGAAGGUGGGGAUGACGUCAAAUCAUCAUGCCCCUUAUGACCUGGGCUACACACGUGCUACAAUGGUUGGUACAACGAGUUGCGAGUCGGUGACGGCGAGCUAAUCUCUUAAAGCCAAUCUCAGUUCGGAUUGUAGGCUGCAACUCGCCUACAUGAAGUCGGAAUCGCUAGUAAUCGCGGAUCAGCACGCCGCGGUGAAUACGUUCCCGGGCCUUGUACACACCGCCCGUCACACCACGAGAGUUUGUAACACCCGAA